AUUGAACGCUGGCGGCAUGCCUUACACAUGCAAGUCGAACGGCAGCGCGGGGCAACCUGGCGGCGAGUGGCGAACGGGUGAGUAAUAUAUCGGAACAUGCCCAGAAGUGGGGAUAACGUAGCGAAAGUUACGCUAAUACCGCAUACGAUCUACGGAUGAAAGUGGGGGACCGCAAGGCCUCAUGCUUUUGGAGUGGCCGAUAUCUGAUUAGCUAGUUGGUGGGUAAAGGCCUACCAAGGCGACGAUCAGUAGCUGGUCUGAGAGGACGACCAGCCACACUGGAACUGAGACACGGUCCAGACUCCUACGGGAGGCAGCAGUGGGGAAUUUUGGACAAUGGGGGGCAACCCUGAUCCAGCAAUGCCGCGUGUGUGAAGAAGGCCUCGGUGUAAGCACUUGUCGGACGAAACGGGUAGGUUU
RNAcentral lists this ribosomal RNA (420 nucleotides) under uncultured bacterium. Its description in RNAcentral is "bacterial SSU rRNA". It matches the Rfam family "Bacterial small subunit ribosomal RNA", at positions 30 to 457 of the family's 1533-position model. The record is from RNAcentral.